GGACUACCGGGGUAUCUAAUCCUGUUUGCUCCCCACGCUUUCGCGCCUCAGCGUCAGUGUCGGUCCAGUGAGCCGCCUUCGCCACUGGUGUUCUUCCCAAUAUCUACGAAUUUCACCUCUACACUGGGAAUUCCACUCACCUCUCCCGAACUCAAGCCAUACAGUAUCAAGCGCAAUUCCUAGGUUGAGCCCAGGGCUUUCACGCCUAACUUGAUUGGCCGCCUACGCGCCCUUUACGCCCAGUAAUUCCGAACAACGCUAGCCCCCUUCGUAUUACCGCGGCUGCUGGCAC
RNAcentral lists this ribosomal RNA (292 nucleotides) under uncultured bacterium. RNAcentral describes it as "partial 16S ribosomal RNA". The record is from RNAcentral.